UACGUAGGGAGCAAGCGUUGUCCGGAAUCAUUGGGCGUAAAGAGCUCGUAGGUGGUUUGUCGCGUUGUUCGUGAAAACUCACAGCUUAACUGUGGGCGUGCGGGCGAUACGGGCAGACUGGAGUACUGCAGGGGAGACUGGAAUUCCUGGUGUAGCGGUGGAAUGCGCAGAUAUCAGGAGGAACACCGGUGGCGAAGGCGGCCUGCUGGGCGAUAGCUGACGCUGAGGCGCGACAGCGUGGGGAGCAAACAGG
This 253-nucleotide ribosomal RNA is filed under the name uncultured bacterium. Its description in RNAcentral is "partial 16S ribosomal RNA". It matches the Rfam family "Bacterial small subunit ribosomal RNA", at positions 524 to 776 of the family's 1533-position model. The record is from RNAcentral.